Molecule: long non-coding RNA, 541 nt
Organism: Antechinus flavipes (yellow-footed antechinus)
Lineage: Eukaryota; Metazoa; Chordata; Mammalia; Dasyuromorphia; Dasyuridae
Exons: 2
Source: RefSeq, a predicted model, not a curated record
UAAAAGCACAUGCUCCUUCUCAACCUGUGCAAGCUCACGUGUUUGGGCAAAAGUCCAAAAGAAAAAGAAAGAAAAGCUUUGUGUUGGAAUAGUCAUACAAUCCUUUCUCAUCCCCUCUCUACUAUCAAUACCUGGGUAGGAUUUUUAAGAACCAAGGUCCCACAAUCAAACUGUGCUCUGAGCUUGGAAUAACAAUCCUUGGUCCUCUCCUUCUGGAUGAUCCCAGAAAAAUCCCAGAACUGAUAAUUCCUGAGCUUGAGGUCCAGACAUCAUGCCCCAAUGAAUGGAAUUUUUAUCUCCAGACAAACUUGCCUCCUUGUUGCACCUGUGCCUCAUUACUGUUGCUACACUACACUGUCUGAUUCUUUCUCUAGACAUAGAGAUAUAAGUCAAGGUUUAGCCCCAUUGCAUUGGGUCUCCUUCUAAAGGAAGCCCUGAUACAUGUCUCACAUUUUUCUCUCCCAAUGUAAUAAAGAAAGCCUUUUGCUUUUAAUCUGUGUGAACUCUUUGGUAUUUUUGGAAUUAAAAGGUGAUUGCAAAA